This 108-nucleotide small RNA is filed under the name Marmota monax (woodchuck). The record is from RNAcentral. Lineage: Eukaryota; Metazoa; Chordata; Mammalia; Rodentia; Sciuridae.
GCCUGGGCGUGGUGGUGCACACCUGUAAUCCCAACAAUCCUGGAGGCUGAGGCAGGAGGAUUGCAAGUUGGAGGCUAGUCUGAGCAACUUAGCCGGACCCAGCCUCAA